AGUAGUUGACUCCGUGGCUCGAGACGACGCUGGCGGCGUGCUUAACACAUGCAAGUCGAACGGGCACUUCGGUGCUAGUGGCGAACGGGUGAGUAAAGCGCAGGUAAUCUGCCGCAAAGUCGGGGACAACGUCCCGAAAGGGACGCUAAUACCGGAUGUUGUAGUGGAGUCGCAUGACUUUGUUACUAAAGAUUUAUCGCUUUGCGAGGAGCCUGCGUCCGAUUAGGUAGUUGGUGUAGUAAAGGUGCACCAAGCCGACGAUCGGUAGCCGGUCUGAGAGGAUGAACGGCCACAAUGGAACUGAGACACGGUCCAUACUCC
RNAcentral lists this ribosomal RNA (321 nucleotides) under uncultured Veillonellaceae bacterium. Its description in RNAcentral is "bacterial SSU rRNA". It matches the Rfam family "Bacterial small subunit ribosomal RNA", at positions 32 to 339 of the family's 1533-position model. Lineage: Bacteria; Bacillati; Bacillota; Negativicutes; Veillonellales; Veillonellaceae. The record is from RNAcentral.